UCGAGGGGCAGCAUGUCUUGUAGCAAUACAGGAUGAUGGCGACCGGCAAACGGGUGCGGAACACGUACACAACCUUCCUUCGAGCGGGGAAUAGCCCAGAGAAAUUUGGAUUAAUACCCCAUAGUAUAUUGAAAAGGCAUCUUUUUAAUAUUAAAGAUUUAUCACUUGAAGAUGGGUGUGCGGCUGAUUAGGUAGUUGGCGGGGUAACGGCCCACCAAGCCGACGAUCAGUAACUGGUGUGAGAGCACGACCAGUCACACGGGCACUGAGACACGGGCCCGACUCCUACGGGAGGCAGCAGUAAGGAAUAUUGGUCAAUGGACGCAAGUCUGAACCAGCCAUGCCGCGUGGAGGAUGAAGGUCCUCUGGAUUGUAAACUUCUUUUAUAUGGGACGAAAAAAGAUCUUUCCAGAUCAACUGACGGUACCAUAUGAAUAAGCACCGGCUAACUCCGUGCCAGCAGCCGCGGUAAUACGGAGGGUGCAAGCGUUAUCCGGAUUCACUGGGUUUAAAGGGUGCGUAGGUGGGUUGGUAAGUCAGUGGUGAAAUCCCCGAGCUUAACUUGGGAACUGCCAUUGAUACUAUCAGUCUUGAAUACCGUGGAGGUCAGCGGAAUAUGUCAUGUAGCGGUGAAAUGCUUAGAUAUGACAUAGAACACCAAUUGCGAAGGCAGCUGGCUACUCGGAUAUUGACACUGAGGCACGAAAGCGUGGGGAUCAAACAGGAUUAGAUACCCUGGUAGUCCACGCCCUAAACUAUGGAUACUCGACAUUUGCGAUACACAGCAAGUGUCUGAGCGAA
Molecule: ribosomal RNA, 801 nt
Filed under: uncultured Sphingobacteriales bacterium
Lineage: Bacteria; Pseudomonadati; Bacteroidota; Sphingobacteriia; Sphingobacteriales
Description: bacterial SSU rRNA
Rfam family: Bacterial small subunit ribosomal RNA
Source: RNAcentral